RNAcentral lists this microRNA (21 nucleotides) under Picea abies (Norway spruce). RNAcentral describes it as "pab-miR11556". The record is from miRBase by way of RNAcentral. Lineage: Eukaryota; Viridiplantae; Streptophyta; Pinopsida; Pinales; Pinaceae.
UUAGAACUGCUGCUCCCGAGG